UGACCAAAAUUCUUCUUCCCCAGUCCAGGCAUUCCAACAGUUGAUAACAUCUAGAUCUGCCAAUCCUUUGUAUUUUUUGUUCUUCUAUUUUUCACAUGACAUGUUCAAAAUCCACUAUGAGCUUCAUCAUAAUCUAAGAAAUGGUGAGUUUUGAUGAUGUGAUGCCUAAAAUAGGAUUAAAUGAAAGUACUAGUAAAAAGGUGUUCAAAUCUGGAGGUUAUGUUAAGCUGGUGGUAUGCUUUGAUUGGGAAAGAUGACUUGGGUCA
Molecule: microRNA precursor, 266 nt
Filed under: Solanum chilense
Lineage: Eukaryota; Viridiplantae; Streptophyta; Magnoliopsida; Solanales; Solanaceae
Description: pre-miR5300
Source: RNAcentral